GGCGCUAUCGUCUAGUGGUUAGGACACCAGGUUUUCAUCCUGGGAACCGGAGUCCGAUUCUCCGUAGCGCUA
Molecule: transfer RNA, 72 nt
Filed under: Candidatus Magasanikiibacteriota bacterium
Lineage: Bacteria; Candidatus Magasanikiibacteriota
Description: tRNA-Glu
Rfam family: tRNA
About the family: Transfer RNA (tRNA) molecules are approximately 80 nucleotides in length. Their secondary structure includes four short double-helical elements and three loops (D, anti-codon, and T loops).
Source: RNAcentral